Molecule: long non-coding RNA, 1394 nt
Filed under: Crocodylus porosus (Australian saltwater crocodile)
Lineage: Eukaryota; Metazoa; Chordata; Crocodylia; Crocodylidae
Description: lncRNA (ENSCPRG00005008328.1)
Source: RNAcentral
UAGGAGCCCUGUUAACCAGUGUGUAAGGCAUAGUCAUGUAAUAAAACAUGCCAGACACUAAAAGGCAAAAACCCAGUUCACAGAUGUUGUAACGUUAUGAGAUAAUUUUAGGGAGUGAAUGGGGUGAAAAGGCUGGAUUUGUUAGAGAGGGGAAUACCUAUGGAGGCCUUUUCUGUGAGCAAUACCAUGACUUCAUUACCAUGUCAAUUCUGGGAAAGGGCUCUGAUUUAACACAGCAGUUGGCUGGAUCCAUAUGGAGCUGAUGAACCUCUGAAUGAAUAGUGAAUGGAAAAACUGCUGGAAUCUGCCUUCAGCUUUGUUCCCAGAAUGACCAAUGUAAAAGGCCUAAGAGCUAUACGGCACAGAUGGUGUAAGGAGGAUGAAUGGAAGAAGAGAUGGAAACAUUUAUGUGAGCCUGAGGUUUUUUUGUUUUGUUUGUUUUUUUUUUAAUUUCAAGCUGCCACAGUCAGGUAGCACCCCGCAAGCUGCUGUGACUCCAACACCGAAGAUGGCCUCAUAAACCCUGCGGACAUUCAGCUAGUAGAAAACAGAUUGGGUUGAUAAAAAUAAGUGUGCAUGUUCUUGGAGAACCUGAGAAAAUCACACCUUCACUUUGUUAAAAAAAUCUGAUUGUGCCACUCCAGUAAUCACUUCAUAACUGGUGGGAGAGCAGAACAUAUGUCUCAGAAGUGGCAGAAUAUAAAAGCCGCUACCUCUAAUCCCUCUUUCUUUAGGAGAAAAAAAUACCUUUCCAGUAUGUCAUCUGUAAAAUCAAUGCCAAGGAUUUUCUGGUUAAAAAUUACAAGUGAAAUGUAAAAUGCUCGUGAAAGCAAAAUGAAACAGUUUUUUUUUUUCUUUAACAAGCUAUAUAACAAAGCAGGAACAAAGUUUAUAAAGAGGAGUCCAAUUCUACACUCCUUACUCAGGCACAACUCCCUGUUGCAAUCUUCUGCAAAAUGGUGAGUCACUGCAGGAGUCAAUAGGAUUCAUGGCUACUCUGACUCUGAACCAAAACUGACUCUGACUCCGAACCAAUAUCAAGGCCACCCCAACCUCAAUCAUUGAGCUCCAGUGUGCUGAUAAUGCUGUAGUGUGUGCUCUUUAGAAGGAGAUUUCCAGGCAAUUGUCCAUGUCUUUACUGAGGCAGACAGCAAAAUGGGACUGACACUUAACUUUCAGAAAACUAAGGUCCUCCAUCAACAAACUCUUAAUGAGCAGUCCCCAGCUCCAGUAAUUUAGAUUUACAGUGAGAUCCUGGAGAAUACUGAGUAUUUCUCAUACCUUGGAAGCCAUCUCGCGCAGAAGGCUAAUAUCAGUGAAGAAAUCCAACAUCGCCUUAGAUGUGCAAGCACAGCCUUUGGAUGCCUGAGGAAACAGGGCUUUGAAGAUUGACA